Molecule: ribosomal RNA, 217 nt
Filed under: uncultured bacterium
Lineage: Bacteria
Description: partial 16S ribosomal RNA
Rfam family: Bacterial small subunit ribosomal RNA
Source: RNAcentral
GAUCCUGGCUCAGGAUGAACGCUAGCUACAGGCUUAACACAUGCAAGUCGAGGGGCAGCAUGGUCUUAGCUUGCUAAGGCCGAUGGCGACCGGCGCACGGGUGAGUAACACGUAUCCAACCUGCCGUCUACUCUUGGACAGCCUUCUGAAAGGAAGAUUAAUACAAGAUGGCAUCAUGAGUUCACAUGUUCACAUGAUUAAGAGUUACGUUCGGAGA